This 184-nucleotide non-coding RNA is filed under the name Nitrospiraceae bacterium. RNAcentral describes it as "6S RNA". It matches the Rfam family "6S / SsrS RNA". Rfam says of the family: E. coli 6S RNA was the first non coding RNA to be sequenced, but its function was unknown until recently. It consists of 184 nucleotides that fold into an extended hairpin structure with a large single-stranded internal bulge. Lineage: Bacteria; Pseudomonadati; Nitrospirota; Nitrospiria; Nitrospirales; Nitrospiraceae. The record is from RNAcentral.
GUUUGCCUGCCUUGUUAGUGACAGAAGCAAAAACUUUUUCCUACAUUCGUGAAUCUGGAAGUCAGAGAAAGUUAAGUGUUGUGCGCCCUGAGAAUUCGGGGAUUAUGCCUGAUCUUGCUUUCGAGGCCUCCACCUGUUUGACAGGGAUUCAAGUUUUUGUUUUGCACGGCAAGGUGGGUUUCCU